Molecule: ribosomal RNA, 522 nt
Filed under: uncultured Diversisporaceae
Lineage: Eukaryota; Fungi; Glomeromycota; Glomeromycetes; Diversisporales
Description: SSU rRNA
Rfam family: Eukaryotic small subunit ribosomal RNA
Source: RNAcentral
AGCAGCCGCGGUAAUUCCAGCUCCAAUAGCGUAUAUUAAAGUUGUUGCAGUUAAAAAGCUCGUAGUUGAACUUCGGGGUCUACCCAUUGGUCAGGCUUAAUUGUCUGCACUGGUGAGAUGGAUCUCUACCUUCUGAGGAACUUUCAUGCCAUUUAUUUAGUGUGAUUGGAAAUCAGGACUGUUACUUUGAAAAAAUUAGAGUGUUUAAAGCAGACUAUCGUCUGAAUACAUUAGCAUGGAAUAAUGAAAUAGGACGGACUGAUUCUAUUUCGUUGGUUUCUAGGAUCACCGUAAUGAUUAAUAGGGAUAGUUGGGGGCAUUAGUAUUCAAUUGUCAGAGGUGAAAUUCUUGGAUUUAUUGAAGACUAACUACUGCGAAAGCAUUUGCCAAGGAUGUUUUCAUUAAUCAAGAACGAAAGUUAGGGGAUCGAAGACGAUCAGAUACCGUCGUAGUCUUAACCAUAAACUAUGCCGACUAGGGAUCGGAUGAAGUUAUUAAAAAUGACGCGUUCGGCACCUUACG